This 568-nucleotide long non-coding RNA is filed under the name Solanum tuberosum (potato). Its description in RNAcentral is "long non-coding RNA (STUB_LNC004696)". The record is from RNAcentral. Lineage: Eukaryota; Viridiplantae; Streptophyta; Magnoliopsida; Solanales; Solanaceae.
UAGUGAAGGUGUGUAUAGAUGUUUAUGAACCUUAGGGACCCUGGUUGAUUUAGAUUUUUGUGAAGAGAACCUUGGGAUACCAUCAUAAAACUCAUCCUCAUUGAUUUUCUGCUGUGUAUUCUUGUUGUCCUGCAAUGGUGGUGGACUCUUGGAGUAACGAUUCAGUAACUUGCCAUCAUUCUUAGAUGAACUUCCUCCCAUAAUGCAAAAAAACCCAGUUGUAAUUACAAACAAAAACACCCAAAAAGUUUUGGGUUUGAGGUAUUUUAUUUCAAUAGGUAGAAUUAGGGAAGUUGAAUAGUAAUUCAAAUACAGAAUAAAUUUUAUUUCAAUAGGGAGAAUUAGGGAAGUUGAAUAGUAAUUCAAAUACAGAAUAAAAAUCAAAACUUGAUAUUAGAGGAAAAGGGAAACUACAAACUCACAGAUUUUGGGGUUUGACAAAAUCGAGAUGAUGAGAAUACCAACUAUGACUACUAUUUCAACAACUAAAUUAAAUUAAAUAAAAAAAUUGACAGAAAAGUCGUCAAUUCUGUCAUAUUACCAUAUACACGCUUUCACUCUGAAUUCG